GUUGAAACACCAAUUUUCGUUUGAUCACCAAAGUUAAGCAGUGUCAAGCCUGGUCAGUACCUAGAUGGGUGACCACUUCAGAAUACCAGGUGCUGCAAG
This is a non-coding RNA of Acanthosepion pharaonis, 99 nucleotides long. Lineage: Eukaryota; Metazoa; Mollusca; Cephalopoda; Sepiida; Sepiidae. The record is from the annotation of a GenBank genome assembly.